GGGGGAUUGGGGUUCGAUUCCGGAGAGGGUGCCUGAGAAAUGGCAACCAUGACUACGGUCAGCAGCAGGCGCGCAAAUUGCCCAAUGCUAACAAACAGCGAGGCAGCGACGAAAAAUAGCAUCAAUGCGAUCCAUUGGGUCACAUUAUGCAAUGGACUGUAUCUAGUAAACACUGUUGAGUAACUAUUGGAGGGCAAGUCUGGUGCCAGCAGCCGCGGUAAUUCCAGCUCCAAGAGCGUAUAUAAACGUUGUUGCGGUUAAAAAGCCCGUAGUUGGAUUUGAGGGCAUGGUUUGUCGAUUUCACCUUCUGACCCGCGAGGGAAGGAAGGUGAUCGACGUUACUCCAUGCUCUGAGACAUGCGGGAACGUCCACUGGCCGAAGGGUCCUUUACUGGAUCUGGAAGCAACUUCGGAGAGCCUAUACUCCUCCAGGUGCGCCCGCAGACGUCACUGUGAAUAAACCAGAGUGUUCAAGGCAACCUUUGUGGUUGAAUGUUAAAGCAUGGAAUGACAAGGGAUCGGCCUACGGGCCUCUUUUUGUUGGUUCUUUAAGCCUUGUAUGAGAAUCCGGAGUCUUCUGGGGUGGCGUCUUUCGACGCUUCACUGGGGAUUCCUCGGGAUCAAUAGGAGCACAGGGGGCUAUGGGUACUCGUGGGCUAGUGGUGAAAUACAGUGACCCCACGAAGACCGACAUCAGCGAAAGCACUUGGCUAUUGUGCUUUCAUUAAUCAAGGACGAGAGAUCGGGGAUUGAAGAGGAUUAGACACCCUCGUAAUCCGUUCUGUAAAUUCUGCAGACUUGGGAUCGGUCACACUCGUUCAGGUGUGAUCGGCACCUUUUUUCCCUAUCGAGAAAUCAAAGUUUUUGUGUUCCGGGGGGGGUACAUUCGCAAGGCUGAAACUUAAAGGAAUUGACGGAGAACCACCACCAGUCGUGGAGUGUGUGGCUUAAUUCGACACAACACGGGAAAUUUUACCAGGCCAGGACGUGGUGAGGAUUGCCAGAUUGAUAGCUCUUGCAUGAUUCCACGAAGGGUGGUGCAUGGCCGCUUCUGGUUGGUGAAGUAAUUUGUCUGCUUAAUUGCGAUAACGAACGAGAUCUCUGCCAAUUACUAGACUGCUGUGUCGACGUCGGUUGUCGCGGCAACGCCUUCGGGCUUGUUCUUGCGACGCCAAGACGCAGUGCGUUACUUAUUGGGAUUAUGCGUUUCCAAGCGCAUUGAAACAAGAGCCCAAAGCAGGUCUGUGAUGCUCCUAUAUGUUCUGGGCUGCACGCGCACUACACUGAUUCAGACAUCGAGCUUCUGCAAACGCAGCCUAAUCCGAAGGGAUUGGGGAAUCUUUUGAGCCUGAGUCGUGAUGGGGAUUGAUGAUUGUAAUUAUUCUCCAUGAACGAGGAAUGUCUUGUAGCCGCGUUUCAUCAGAACGCAGCGAAUACGUCCCUGGUUCUUGUACACACCGCCCGUCGUUGCCUGUGAUGGAUUGCGAGUAGAGCCAUCAGGAGGUGGGUCUUGGGGCGACUCAGGUCUCGCCAAAUUUUGGCAAUACUCUCAAUCUAGAAGAGGCAAAAGUCGUAACAAGGUA
RNAcentral lists this ribosomal RNA (1583 nucleotides) under metagenome. Its description in RNAcentral is "SSU rRNA". It matches the Rfam family "Eukaryotic small subunit ribosomal RNA", at positions 364 to 1801 of the family's 1831-position model. The record is from RNAcentral.